RNAcentral lists this ribosomal RNA (427 nucleotides) under uncultured bacterium. Its description in RNAcentral is "partial 16S ribosomal RNA". It matches the Rfam family "Bacterial small subunit ribosomal RNA", at positions 355 to 774 of the family's 1533-position model. The record is from RNAcentral.
UGGGGAAUAUUGGACAAUGGGCGAAAGCCUGAUCCAGCCAUGCCGCGCGUGUGAAGAAGGUCUUCGGAUUGUAAAGCACUUUAAGUUGGGAGGAAGGGCAUUAACCUAAUACGUUAGUGUUUUGACGUUACCGACAGAAUAAGCACCGGCUAACUCUGUGCCAGCAGCCGCGGCAAUACAGAGGGUGCAAGCGUUAAUCGGAAUUACUGGGCGUAAAGCGCGCGUAGGUGGUUUGUUAAGUUGGAUGUGAAAUCCCCGGGCGCAACCUGAGAACUGCAUUCAAAACUGACUGACUAGAGUAUGGUAGAGGGUGGUGGAAUUUCCUGUGUAGCGGUGAAAUGCGUAGAUAUAGGAAGGAACACCAGUGGCGAAGGCGACCACCUGGACUAAUACUGACACUGAGGUGCGAACGCGUGGGGAGCAAACA